CAGUCGCCGCGGUAAUACGAAGGGGGCGAGCGUUGUCCGAAGUUACUGGGCGUAAAGCGCGCGUAGGCGGCUUCUUAAGUCUGAGGUGAAAGGUUCAACGCUUAACGUGAACAGUGCCUUGGAUACUGGGGAGCUUGAGUAUGGGAGAGGGCAGUGGAAUGGCUGGUGUAGCGGUGAAAUGCGUAGAUAUCAGUCGGAACACCCAUGGCGAAGGCAGCUGCCUGGCCUAAUACUGACGCUGAGGUGCGAAAGCGUGGGGAGCGAACGGGAUUAGAUACCCGAGUAGUCCCUGUCUCUUAUA
RNAcentral lists this ribosomal RNA (301 nucleotides) under uncultured bacterium. RNAcentral's name for it is "partial 16S ribosomal RNA". It matches the Rfam family "Bacterial small subunit ribosomal RNA", at positions 509 to 808 of the family's 1533-position model. The record is from RNAcentral.